Molecule: ribosomal RNA, 434 nt
Filed under: uncultured bacterium
Lineage: Bacteria
Description: bacterial SSU rRNA
Rfam family: Bacterial small subunit ribosomal RNA
Source: RNAcentral
UGGGGAAUCUUGCGCAAUGGUCUAACGACUGACGCAGCGACGCCGCGUGUGGGAGGACGCCUUUCGGGGUGUAAACCACUGUUGCCCGGGACGAACAGCCUCUUUCGAGGGGCCUGACGGUACCGGGUGAGGAAGCACCGGCUAACUCCGUGCCAGCAGCCGCGGUAAUACGGAGGGUGCGAGCGUUGUCCGGAAUCAUUGGGCGUAAAGGGCGCGUAGGUGGCUUCUUAAGCGUGCGGUGAAAGCCUGGGGCUCAACCCCGGGUCGGCCGUGCGAACUAGGGGGCUUGGGAUGCACUGUAGAGGCAGGCGGAAUUCCGGGUGUAGCGGUGGAAUGCGUAGAGAUCCGGAAGAACACCGGUGGCGAAGGCGGCCUGCUGGGCUAUGGCUGACACUGAGGCGCGACAGCGUGGGGAGCAAACAGGAUUAGAUACC